AUAGAGACUUUCUUUAAAAAAAGAAAAGUAGGUUCUUCACACCAUUUCUCAGGAAACUGUUGGAGGAUGUUCUUAAGCAUAGCAAAGGAAUAAACCAAGAAAGAGGAAGACAUGGGAUCUAGGAAAUAGGAGAUCUGUCACAAGAGAGUGAUGAUCCAGGGAGGACAGCUGGUCCAGAUUGGGACAGAUCAGAAGGUUGCAUGAGACUGCUACAGAAAGAUGAAAAUUGAUAGGAAAAGAGAUUUAAAUAUUGGUCAGAAAGUUAGGGAUAUAUGCAUAAAAAACUGAGCAAAUUGAGAAACAGGAGGCUGUUUUUAACAUAGUCUAGAAGCAUGUUAUUUAAGGUAGUUAUAAUCAACGCCAAAAUAAUCAGAGGAGGUGGAAGUGAUUGGCUGUGGGGAAGGGAGAAUGGCAAGGCUGGCUGAUUUUAUAACAGAUCUUUAUAGAGCCAUUUGACUCUAGAAACUGCAUAUAUAACUGAUGAAAGUAAAUAACUAAAAAAGCUUGUCCAGCUUGAUUAAAAGUGAUAUUUAUAAUUUUUGCAAAAAUUACUAAGGAAGUUGGAAUAUUUUGACAGAUAUAUUUUUUAAUCUCAAAUCUUCCUAUCAUCUCAACACACAUCAAAACCUUGAGAGCAGAGACCAGUGGUCCUUCCUUUCAGAGUUGGAGAGUCUGGGAUUCUGUUGUCAGACUGUGUUCCCUGAGGCUUUUCUUUGUCUCCUUAAUGACCUUGCACUUAAGUCAGGUCUGUAUACAGGAAAAUCUCUAUCUCAACAGCCAUGGCCUUUUGUGUUCUUCAGGUUGUCCGCACAAACCAGUGUGCAGGAGAAUUUGUCAUCACCUUCCCCCGUGCUUACCACAGCGGCUUCAACCAAGGCUACAACUUUGCCGAGGCUGUCAACUUUUGCACUGCUGACUGGUUGCCUGCUGGGCGCCAGUGCAUUGAGCACUACCGCCGGCUCCGGAGAUACUGCGUCUUCUCCCAUGAGGAGCUUAUCUGCAAGAUGGCUGCCUGCCCAGAGAAGCUAGACCUAAACCUGGCGGCAGCUGUGCAUAAGGAGAUGUUCAUCAUGGUGCAAGAAGAGCGGCGUCUACGAAAGGCCCUGCUGGAGAAGGUGGGGAGAGUACCCCAGAUCAAGCACCCUAUUCUGGUGGAAGUUCGGGGAGGCAGAGGCAGCACCAAGAAGAUGUAGCCUCUACUCUUGGCGUAUAGUGAAAAGAACUAGAUGUAUCUCGAUUGAAAACCACAUACCAUUCUCUGCUAUACCCUUUACCAGCAACCUUGCUUAAGUCGAUUUACUUCAUUGUCAGUUUUCCCCUCUGAAAAAUGGGAUUAUGAUAAUACUUAUCUUUUUGGAUAGUUGA
This 1365-nucleotide small RNA is filed under the name Pan troglodytes (chimpanzee). Its description in RNAcentral is "retained intron". Lineage: Eukaryota; Metazoa; Chordata; Mammalia; Primates; Hominidae. The record is from RNAcentral.